AUGUCGGAGAUAGUCAAUAGUACGGUCACUGAACGAGCCGCAAGCGCGCCCUCUGGUGGCGUGUUCGGUGAAACAACAAUUUGGCGCGCUUGGCGGAGUCGUGGCGGUCAGCGCGGCGUCCGCGGAGCUCAGUCUUAGUUCACUCUCGGUUGAGUCUUGGUCGAGUCUUCAUCGAGUGUUCGUUGGAGUCGUCGCGUUACUGCCUUACCUACGUCACGGCUAGUGUACCUAGUGUUAUUGCCUAGCGUUGUAGUACCGUUGUAGAUUCAAAUGUAAAGGUUCUUCUAACCUGACAGACAGACAUGUGUUGCUGGGGAGUUUGUUCCGCCACUUCUUCUUCCCAGCCAAAACACAUAGGAAGUGGCGAAGGGCGGGCGUUUUGGGGGAUGUCUUUUGUUCUUAGUAAUUUGAAUAAACGUUUCUAAGUGUUGAGUUCUGUUUGAGUUAUCUCUUUGCUUGAUUUCCCUAACUGAUGUCGGACGAUAGUGCCAGCCAUCCUGAUGGCGCCUCUGACAUCAGAAGUGGGAUGCAAUCCAAAUGCCCACAUGCGUUUCGAAUUCGCCAUGCGAAGAUAAAUUUCUACCCACUAACAAAAAAAAAAAAAAUGGAACGUCGAUAAUUUGAAUUAAGAAUUUCAGCGAAGGUACAAGUAUGGUAACCACGGUUAUGGUAAUGGUAUCGUUUCCAUUGUUAAAUGUCAAGCUAGUUAUUGAAGGUAUGUUAAAAAAUUAACCGAAUUUGUCUUUUUUUUCAUGUUUCAACAAUGACGGUGGUUAUUGAGCAAUAUGGCGAGAAAAUUACGACGUUGAAUGGAGCAUCCCAGCUGCCUACCAGGAGCCCAGCGUGUCGUGUGUUAUCGUGAGUUCGGAGUGUUGGUGAUCGUGCAUCUCCGUGGCUUCACGUUCACGAAAGUCGCUGUACUGCGCGCUAUAGCGAUGUGUGCAUAGUCACGCACGUUGAGUGGAAACCCGGUACAAUGUGUAGCCACACGAGGACGUGUGUAUGUCAGUUAUGGCCGUGUCGGAGAUAGUCAAUAGUACGGUCACUGAACGAGCCGCAAGCGCGCCCUCUGGUGGCGUGUUCGGUGAAACAACAAUUUGGCGCGCUUGGCGGAGUCGUGGCGGUCAGCGCGGCGUCCGCGGAGCUCAGUCUUAGUUCACUCUCGGUUGAGUCUUGGUCGAGUCUUCAUCGAGUGUUCGUUGGAGUCGUCGCGUUACUGCCUUACGUCACGGCUAGUGUACCUAGUGUUAUUGCCUAGCGUUGUAGUACCGUUGUAGAUUCAAAUGUAAAGGUUCUUCUAACCUGACAGACAGACAUGUGUUGCUGGGGAGUUUGUUCCGCCACUUCUUCUUCCCAGCCAAAACACAUAGGAAGUGGCGAAGGGCGGGCGUUUUGGGGGAUGUCUUUUGUUCUUAGUAAUUUGAAUAAACGUUUCUAAGUGUUGA
Long non-coding RNA from Helicoverpa armigera (cotton bollworm), 1445 nucleotides. RefSeq lists it as uncharacterized. NCBI's taxonomy places the organism in Eukaryota, Metazoa, Arthropoda, Insecta, Lepidoptera, Noctuidae. The record is from RefSeq and is a predicted model, not a curated record. The transcript has 2 exons.